RNAcentral lists this ribosomal RNA (463 nucleotides) under uncultured bacterium. RNAcentral's name for it is "partial 16S ribosomal RNA". It matches the Rfam family "Bacterial small subunit ribosomal RNA", at positions 28 to 507 of the family's 1533-position model. The record is from RNAcentral.
GACGAACGCUGGCGGCGUGCUUAACACAUGCAAGUCGAACGGAAAGGCCUUUUCGGAGGUACUCGAGUGGCGAACGGGUGAGUAACACGUGGGUGAUCUGCCCUGCACUCUGGGAUAAGCCUGGGAAACUGGGUCUAAUACCGGAUAGGACCGCACUUUAGUGUGUGUGGUGGAAAGUUUUUUCGGUGUAGGAUGAGCCCGCGGCCUAUCAGCUUGUUGGUGGGGUAAUGGCCUACCAAGGCGGCGACGGGUAGCCGGACUGAGAGGUUGGUCGGCCACAUUGGGACUGAGAUACGGCCCAGACUCCUACGGGAGGCAGCAGUGGGGAAUAGUGCACAAUGGGCGCAAGCCUGAUGCAGCGACGCCGCGUGGGGGAUGACGGCCUUCGGGUUGUAAACUCCUUUCGCCAGGGACGAAGCGUUUUGUGACGGUACCUGGAGAAGAAGCACCGGCUAACUACGUG